GAUGAAGAACGUAGCAAAAUGCGAUAAGUAAUGUGAAUUGCAGAAUUCAGUGAAUCAUCGAAUCUUUGAACGCACAUUGCGCCCGCUGGUAUUCCGGCGGGCAUGCCUGUUCGAGCGUCAUUUCAACCCUCAAGCCCCCGGGUUUGGUGUUGGGGAUCGGCUCUGCCUUCUGGCGGUGCCGCCCCCGAAAUACAUUGGCGUUCUCGCUGCAGCCUCCAUUGCGUAGUAGCUAACACCUCGCAACUGGAACGCGGCGCGGCCAUGCCGUAAAACCCCAACUUCUGAAUGUUGACCUCGGAUCAGGUAGGAAUACCCGCUGAACUUAAGCAUAUCAAUAAGCGGAGGA
This 346-nucleotide unclassified non-coding RNA is filed under the name soil metagenome. RNAcentral describes it as "partial contains 5.8S ribosomal RNA, internal transcribed spacer 2, and large subunit ribosomal RNA". The stretch from base 1 to 120 matches the Rfam family "5.8S ribosomal RNA", at positions 35 to 154 of the family's 154-position model. The record is from RNAcentral.